CAAGGAGAUGCACUUCCUCUUGGGGAGCAGGGGCAAAGCUAGAGGACCCCUGAGGAAGGGCCAACCAUCAAGGCUGGAAAACCACAGCCCUAAGGACACCCAGGCAGUUUAGACUGGCCACUGCUGCUGUCCUUUUCUAAGACAGUUUCUACAGAACUACAGUUUAGCAGAGAGUUCUUAUGGAUUUUAAGGGGGAUUAAAUAUACAUAACAAAUUCACCAUCUUUACCAAAAAAGUGAAAAAGUGUUUAGUUCAGUGAUACCAAGUACAUUCAUAUUGCCAUGCAACCACCCAUCUCCAGAACUUUUUCAUCUUUCCAAACUAAAACUCUGCCCAUUAAACACUAACUCCCCUUUCCCCACUUCCUCUGGCCACUGGCAAUCAUAUUUCUACUUUUCAUCUCUAUGAAUUUGACUGCUCUAGGUCCAUUAUCUUUUAUAUCAAGACUUCUGGAAGAGGUGACAUCUCCAUCUUUAUCUGACAUAUGAGCAAAAUGAAGCAAAGGGCCAGCAAGAGGGAAAACCUGUAUUGGGCGAAUCGGAACUUGUGAAAGUGCUAGAAAAACAUAAAGCUUUAGGAAAAAUGAAGUUCAACCUGUGGACUGGACUGUGGGCCCUUUGAUAUGGUCUCCAGACAGCACUACCUCUGAGCUCAGAAAUGUCCUGACUUACGUGGAUCAACACAAACAUGCAUGAUCUACAAGAUGACAGAUGAAAUGAAGAGAUCUACAAGACGACAGAUGAAAUGUCAUGCUCUCUCAUGACAACAGAAAUCACCACAGAUCACUAGAAACAGCCUCCACCUGUGGACACAUUCAAGCGCCCGGGAUCACACCCAUGGUGUUGGGCGAGGCGCACAGUUCAGCCCUGGCCUAAGCAGGAGGCCUUCAUGGGGUCCACAAGGGGCUUUUCUUCAGAAUGUCUAAACAGACACAAAACAAGAGGAAAAGGAAAAUAACCAGCAGCAGGAAUUUAUAAGAAUGACCUUUUAUCUACUGAAAAAGGAUUUGUGUCCGUUUUAUCACAUUUCUGAUUAUAUUGAAUACUUUCACUGUCCAGGGCAUUUUGUCUGCGUUGGAAACUCCAGAAAAGUAAAAUACAAUCCCUGCCCUCAAUGUGCUUAUAUUUGGUGUGUAUUUUUGUGUGUGUGUGUGUAUGCUAUACCUAUGUAUGUGCAUGUGUAUCUAUGCCUGAGGGUGU
Odocoileus virginianus texanus is the source of this 1199-nucleotide long non-coding RNA. RefSeq lists it as uncharacterized. The record is from RefSeq and is a predicted model, not a curated record. Lineage: Eukaryota; Metazoa; Chordata; Mammalia; Artiodactyla; Cervidae.